Molecule: long non-coding RNA, 4152 nt
Organism: Empidonax traillii (willow flycatcher)
Lineage: Eukaryota; Metazoa; Chordata; Aves; Passeriformes; Tyrannidae
Exons: 5
Source: RefSeq, a predicted model, not a curated record
UUUUUUUCUCUGCAUAUGACCCAAUAACAUUUGAUAAUUUGCUUGGUAAUGUUUUCUCUCUGAUGCUUGUGAAAUUGUUUAACAUAUAUACCUUUCAUUGUUUUGCUAGCUGUGGUUGAGCAACACCUUUUGUGGCAGCAAAAAUUGCCAGUGACACAGAUGGUAGGGCAUCACUCAGAUAAGCCAAGAUAAAAUUAAUCUGUCUGGCGCAUCUUUUCAUGGCAGGCACUAACCUAACCUGCCUCUCUGAGCUCUGGCAUCUUGGCCGUAGGUUUGUGUACAUGUGAUCUCAGUGUACAGGGCUGGCGAGAAACCCUCCACUGGAGACAGUGAUGGUGAGGCUCCCCAUGGUGCAUCAGAGAGCACCUGGACCUGUGGCACAACCUGUAAUUAUGGUAUUUUCAAAUGCUCAGCCUCAGCAUUUGGGUUCACAGAGUUGGACAGCAAAGAGUCUCUGUCCCACUGGUUGGCACAGCAGUGUUACUACAGCCCUGCUUCCCAGGCUACAGGUCACCAGUCUGUCACUUGACUUUAAGUGCUGAUUGCUGUUCUUAAUUAUUUGAUCAGUUGAUAGCUGUCGUAAGGCUAAACUACUUAAGCAUUUACUGGAGUAACUUAAGCAUUCCUCUUUCAGUAUACCCAGGACCGGUUGCCUCCAUUUUAUACCUGAGGAGGUAUAAAGAGCAGUGGGAAGGUGCAGAGAAACAGCUGUACCAUACAGCAGUACAAGCACCUCAACAUACAGACUCAUUUCAGUGGUGUGGCAAUAAACAGGUUGCAGAUCUGGUUCUCUCAUGUUUUAGCUGUAAACAGCUUUAAUUCAGUUUUGCUAUUGUUGUGUAACUUCAGUAUUUGCAAAUCGUAGUAUUUCUGCUAUACACAUUAUGAAACGUGGGCAGGCUCUUUGUUUCCCAAAAGAGACUGAUAAUCAACAAAAUAAACCAAAUAGAUUUUUCAAGGGUUUGUAACUCAAAGACUCUCUAAGCAUGCAAGACCCACUUACUCAACCUCAUAUGCCCUUACAGCAUGUACUGUGAUCAAUCAUUAGUGUGAAAUACUUACUUUUUGCCUAUUUUAUGUGCAUAUAUGUAUAUAUUCAUCAAGUUUUUAAAUUUAAAAAUAUGCUGUUCUAUUUUAAAAUGCCAAACACUCAAGAAAUGCCUGCCUGUCCCAGUGAUUCUGUGUUGCCUCUGCUGCCCACUGUGACCCUUUUGACUGGGCAGGCUGGUUGCUGCAGAAGGAGACGUGGCAUAGCCCCUCUGCAAUUUCAGGGGGACGCGCCCAGCAAAACUGACUCUGCUGGAGGGCACAAGCACUGGACCCUGGCAUGGAGAAGGAAUAAAGCUGCCCUCUUUUCUGCAAACCUGGAGUAUCUUCUCAGCGUGCAGGAAAGUCAAGGUGAGAAUAAAGCAACUGACAGUGUUGCAUAGAAUAUUUUGCAAAAAAAGACCAUGGAAGAAUUUCUGCACAGCAAAUAGGGAUAAUUUGUGAGUUAUAGUGCCAGCCACUCACCAACUUGCCCUCCUCUUACUGUCAAAAGAUGGGAAGAAACAGAGAAAUGGGAGCAAAGAGAGUUUGCAGGAAAAAGGGAGAAGAAGGAAUAAGACAACUGCAGGUGAGCAAGACAGAGACAGCAAGGGAAGAGCAGAAGGAGCGUUAGGAUUGUCAGCACCAAGGAGGUCAGAGACCUUGGGUGUGAUGACAGAGAAACCUUAGGAGUUAGCUGUGCAAAAAUCCAGUUUACAGGAUAUUUAAUUUACUAUGAUAGAUACUUCACAUCUAUCCAUUUUACAGUCUCCAUAGGCUACGCCGCAGAGAUAAAAAUGAAAGGCUUAAACUGAAGUGACUUAGCCAAGUACUAAACAAACACAAAACAAACCAACACCCUAGAGGAAGUCGCUACCUUUCUGUUACCAAACUACAAGAGGUGAGGCAAAAACUUUAACAAAGGAAUGGGUCUGCUGCAACAAAGGAAAUAACAGCAAAAGCAGGGACAAGGACACAUCCUAACCCCACUAAUAUCAGCAGGAAUUUGCCUUCAUCUUCAGUGGGAACACAACUUCAAAGACAUAGGUAUCACCCAUAAAACCUGAAGGAUUUUCUAAGCUUGAGAGACCAGUUUUCAAAAGCUCUCCAGCAAAGUUAUUAUGUUACAAGCAUUACUCCAUCAGAAGAAACUGUAAAAGGAUGAUCCAAAAUACUCAGGGAGAAUAAGGCACAAAGGGAUGUAUCAGAGGUUACCAUGAAGUAUUUGUGAAGAAAGACACUGAGCACAGAACAGAUCUCCUGAAUCCAUACUGGCACUACAAUAUUGUACAUUUCCAUGGGAGGCUGAAUUGCAAAUGCCAUGGCCAGAUGCAUUGUCAGCUGAUGGAUGCAAUCCCAGUACUGAACUGAAUGCUGUAAUUUCUUUCCAGAUGUAUUUAAAACUCCUCUGGUUCAAUAAGAAAGCAGGGCUUGAAGCCUCUCUCCUGCCAAAGGCAACCAUGCCAUACCUUCUCCUUCAUAAAUAAUCCUUCACAAAUUUAGGAAAUUAAGUAUUUUCCCAAACGGGAGAAAAAUAUGAUCCAUUUGGAAAUACAGACAAAAUAAAUAUUUUAGCUAAUUAAUUUAGCUAAUUCUUCCUUGUCAAUUUGUACAGUAACUUUUACUGAAAUGGUGCUUUUGAUUCUUUCCUCUGUCUCCAACUGCAGAGAACAAAGAUUGUAUUCAGCAUCAGUCUGUGCUGGGUAAAGCACCAAACUUGUCAAACCAUGCAGACCAAGCAAAAGAGAACCUGUGAUAAAAGGUCUAACUUAAGAGCAGAUUUCACGAUGACUUCAAUUUCUUUGUUCAGUCAAACCCUGUGCACCAGACAGGACUGGCUCUGACAAGCUUCUACAGAAAAAUGACACAAAAGAGACUGAAAUCUAGGCCACAGCUACAAAUAAUUCUUAGGAAGCUCUCUGGAUUUCCUGGAGGGCGAGGUGUGGCUCUGUGCGUGGGAGGUAAACGCUGGUGUCUUUCUGUUAGUAGUAAUUAGGUGCAGUUUGAGUUUCAUUAAUAAGAGCUACUUAUGCAUGCUGGAAAAAAAGUUUAUCUGACACAGGGAUUAUAUGUUACUAGCUAAUGUCUUACCUUGUGUGUUAUCUUUGUUAUUUUGUGAUUAGUGCUUUAAAAUGUCCAUGAUAUUUUAUAAGUAUAUAAGAAAAAAAGUUCUGUUACAGAGAGUUUAAAAUAUAAAAGAGAAAGAAAUCUCCUGGUAAACCUCCAAGUUAUCCCACCAGUCUGUCUAAUAUUUUAGAACCACUUCUCGCAUUAGCAUUUGUUUUUAUUAGCUUUAGUCAUUUUGCUUUUGAUGUUGUUUAUAAUUACUGCCAAAUGCAAAAAUAGGCUUUCCAGAAAUUUACCAGGAACACCCAGCAUCGAAAUAUCCGUCUUAAAAGAUUUGAUAAACCAGUAAAGAAAGAGUAUCUUUUCAGGGGAAAACGGCUGGGUAGCCUUAAACAGAAGAGAUACUGCAAUUCUAGUGACUAUUCAUCAAAAUCUAGUGAUGCAAACAGGAAAAAAAGCAAACCUGUAAUGUAGCUAAAAAUGUCUGUUAAAUUAUUUUAAAAGUCCGUUUGUUACAGAGUUCAACCCCAUACCAUCUGAAUAUUAUGGUAGUUAUUCUAAAAUUCUUAAUUCUUAUAAAACACCUUUUUUACUCCAUUUUGAGGUUUCAUAGCAUUACAGGUUUUCAGGCCAGAAGAAAGCACCACGAGUCUUCAGCCUGACCUUUUGCAGGGUGCAGGUGGCAAUUAGAUCAAGUGAUGUGUGCAUCAUUUCUGGGGUACAUAAUUUCUGGUGGAGAUAGAACACUUCCUUUGGAAAAAAAAUCCACCUUCUUGAUUUAAAGAUUUCAAGUGGCAAGGAAUACUUCCCAGGCCUAUCAAUUUAUUUUUUUUCCCAAGGUUUAGUUAGUCCAGAGGGUUCUCUCUAGGUUCUGGUUUUGUUUUAUAAUCAAAAAAUGGCUCAGCUUUCAAACGCUACAUCAUUUAAAAGAUUUGUCUUCUAAACUGAAGACUUCUAUGAUUAUUCUCUUUAUUUAUGUAAUUCAAGGUGAGUUAGUGCUCAUGUAAUUCAUUGAUGGGAUAGAGAUUAAGGUUCUGAAGCCCUGGUAAGAAGGGUUUC